Molecule: ribosomal RNA, 301 nt
Filed under: uncultured bacterium
Lineage: Bacteria
Description: partial 16S ribosomal RNA
Rfam family: Bacterial small subunit ribosomal RNA
Source: RNAcentral
CAGCCGCCGCGGUAAAACGGAGGGUGCAAGCGUUAAUCGGAAUUACUGGGCGUAAAGCGCACGCAGGCGGUCUGACAAGUCAGAUGUGAAAUCCCCGGGCUUAACCUGGGAACUGCAUUUGAAACUGUCAGGCUGGAGUCUUGUAGAGGGGGGUAGAAUUCCAGGUGUAGCGGUGAAAUGCGUAGAGAUCUGGAGGAAUACCGGUGGCGAAGGCGGCCCCCUGGACAAAGACUGACGCUCAGGUGCGAAAGCGUGGGGAGCAAACAGGAUUAGAUACCCGUGUAGUCCCUGUCUCUUAUAC